GUAGGAGCCUGCCGUCACAGCGGCUGGUUUCCUUGCCUUUCUCUUGAGCGGAACGUGAAGUAUUGGGGCUGACACCCUUUAAUCUGCCGGCCCCCAAGCAUAAUCCCGUCCAAGAAUUGAUGCUUUAUAGCCAAAGAAUUGAUGCUUUUGAACUGUGGUGUUGGAGAAGACUCCUGAGAGUCCCUUGGACUACAAGGACAUCCAACCAGUCCAUCCUAAAGGAAAUCAGUCCUGAAUAUUCACUGGAAGGACUGAUGCUGAAGCAGAAACUCCAAUCCUUUGGCCACCUGAUGCGAAUAACUGACUCAUUGGAAAAGACCCUGAUGCUGGGAAAGAUUGAGGGCGGGAGGAGAAGGGGACGACAGAGGAUGAAGGGUAAAUAAGCAGAGGCCAAUGUCCAGAGAAAAGGCUAAGCUUUUCAAACUUUUGUCCCAACCUGCCUCUUCCCUCCCCACACUUCCUGCUUCUUCUUGGCGGCCUCCUCGCACUCCACCCUCCACAGGGCCUAGACAGGGCCUCCCCCCAGCUGCCAGCUUGCAAGUUCCUCCCACACUGGGGUCUGUGGUGGUUGCUCCAGGGGUGGGACGUCCAGGAGCCACUGGGGCUCGGGGCUGCCCAGCUUUGCUGAGAGUCCCGGGAACCAGCAGAGGCCCCUCGGCCCCAGUGCUGGGAUCUGCAGAGGAGAGGAAGAGGAGGACAAAAAAGCAGGUUGGGACAGUGGUCAGCAAAGACAGGAUAAGAGGCUCUGUCGACGUGCCGUUCACCGCGCUUCAGGGUUGUCCUCUUACAGGCCCCCUGGCGGGUCUUGGUCAGUCCAGAGGGCCAGGCCGGCCACCCACCUGCCUCCAGGGGACAGGGUGUGGGGGAGCCGCUGACCACAGCUGCCCAGGAGCCCUGCCUCGGACCGAGUCCUCAUGAGAAUGCUGACAGAGCAGGGACCCUCACCCGCAGGGGAGCAGGGCUCUAGCAAGUGGAGUAUUUUGGAUUUAGCCUCCUGGAGGUACUGAACUUCUUGCUAAACUUUAUGGCCCCCUACAUCUCGCCUACAUUUUUCUAAGGACCGAGUUUUUUCUGGUCUGAUCAUGAAAAUAUAAGAGGUCUUUUGUAAAAAUGUAAGAUAAAUCGGGGCAGUAAAGAAAAUAAAUAUCACCUGUCGCCCUUACUGCACAGAAAUAACAACUGCUCUGAAACGUGGUGAAUAAUAACGCGGGUCUUUUUACACACACGAGGUUUUGGCAGCAUGCUGCUUUUCUCAUUUACUAUUUUAUAUUUCACGAAUCCUUUCCUGUUAAGUACUUUUUAAAGACACCACCGAAGUGUCUUCGUUCGGAGCACACAGAGGUCUUUCGGCUCGGGCCCUGCAGGCCCUGGCGGCGCCGCCGGAAAGCCCGUCUUCUCCGGGGAUGUGAGGGGCGCGGGCCGAGGCUGACGUGGCGGGAGAGCCCCAGCGCGCGGCCGCGUGCACUGUAAACAGUUAAUAGCCCAUCUCUCGCUCUGAGGAGCUCCUCCCCGCGAUGAUGCAGGGUGGAAUAAAAACCCUGAUUAGUUUAGAUCUUCCCCGAGCCCCGGGAGGCGCCCGGGACGCCCUCGCGCGCGCAGGCUCUCGCGGCUGCGGGGCCUCCAGCUCUGGCGCCGCAGAUCCGGCGUCUCGGACGGGAAGCCGCGUCUCCUCUCACUCCCGCGGAGACGAACCCGCUUCCUGCUCGCACGCACACCCGUGGGCUGCUUUCCUUUAGGAGGACGAAGCGGAACAGGUCGGGUUGUCACGGGAAGAAAAUGGAUCUGGACUAAUUCAUGGCACGUGGACACCCACGCGUCCAGAGGGACCGCAGGAUCCUGGAAAUCAUCUCAAAAUCAGUUCGCAAAGAGCUUUCUGAUUCCAUUUUAUGGCUGCAUAGAAGUCCUCUGUUUGAGCCAAAAUUGAGCUAACAAAUUCCUCAUAAAUUGACAUUUGGGUUGUUUCCAUCUUUUGCUAUCACAAACGAAGCGUCAGGAUAAUGGUGGAACAAGUCAUUUUGUACGUCUGAUAGAAUCAUGUACGCUUUUGAAUCUAAGUGGACUGGUGAUCUGACGUGAAUAGCUGACUCACUGGAAAAGUCCCUGAUGCUGGGAAAGAUUGAGGGCAGAAGAAGAAGAGGGUGUUAGAGGAUGAGAUGACUUGAUGGCAUUACUGAUGCAAUGAGCGUGAACUGAGACAAACUUUGAGAGAUGGUGAAGGACAGGGAGGCCUGGCGUGCUGCAGCCCAUGGGGUUGAAAACAGUCAGACACAACUGGGCGACUCAACAGCAAAGUGGGCUGGAAAUGGAAAGGAAUUAGCUGAGGGAAGGCGAAUGUAGUUUCCCGAUAAGGUGAGCAGGAAGCCAGCAGGUUCAGACCUUCUUCCACGGGCAAACACAGGGAGCUGCCCAGGAAGGGGUCUGGCAUGUGCGGUAGUGGGGAGGCUGAAUUCAGGAGCAGCCGGCUGUAGGUGCUGCAUCUCCAAAGCUCCUCUUUCACAUUCCCUUUAACAGCCCAUCUUCGUGUAUACCUGUUUUACUUACUUAUUUCUUUGGCCGUUCCUCCUGGCCUGUGGGCUCUUAGUUCCCCACCAGGGAUGGAACCCAGGCCCCAGCAGUGAAAGCACCGAAUCCUGGACCACCAGCAAAGUCCCUGUCCUGUUUUUAAAGAACCAGGAAAAAGCAUCAGACAUCGCAGACGUGGAGUCCACAGUCUAUCAGUGCUCUGUCU
Long non-coding RNA from Bos taurus (domestic cattle), 2728 nucleotides. The record is from Ensembl. Lineage: Eukaryota; Metazoa; Chordata; Mammalia; Artiodactyla; Bovidae.